ACGCAUCCUUUGCUGAAGGCAAUGGUUAACGGAGCGAAAGCGACGUUCAACCGCAAAACAAGCAGAGGGGGCUUAGUGGUGGGGUGACUGCGUACCUUUUGUAUAAUGGGUCAGCGACUUAUAUUCUGUAGCAAGGUUAACCGUAUAGGGGAGCCGGAGGGAAACCGAGUCUUAAUUGGGCGUUAAGUUGCAGGGUAUAGACCCGAAACCCGGUGAUCUAGCCAUGGGCAGGUUGAAGGUUGGGUAACACUAACUGGAGGACCGAACCGACUAAUGUUGAAAAAUUAGCGGAUGACCUGUGGCUGGGGGUGAAAGGCCAAUCAAACCGGGAGAUAGCUGGUUCUCCCCGAAAGCUAUUUAGGUAGCGCCUCGUGAAUUCAUCUCCGGGGGUAGAGCACUGUUUCGGCUAGGGGGCCAUCCCGGCUUACCAACCCGAUGCAAACUGCGAAUACCGGAGAAUGUUAUCACGGGAGACACACGGCGGGUGCUAACGUCCGUCGUGAAGAGGGAAACAACCCAGACCGCCAGCUAAGGUCCCAAAGUCAUGGUUAAGUGGGAAACGAUGUGGGAAGGCCCAGACAGCCAGGAUGUUGGCUUAGAAGCAGCCAUCAUUUAAAGAAAGCGUAAUAGCUCACUGGUCGAGUCGGCCUGCGCGGAAGAUGUAACGGGGCUAAACCAU
Molecule: ribosomal RNA, 679 nt
Filed under: Salmonella enterica subsp. enterica serovar Thompson
Lineage: Bacteria; Pseudomonadati; Pseudomonadota; Gammaproteobacteria; Enterobacterales; Enterobacteriaceae
Description: partial 23S ribosomal RNA
Rfam family: Bacterial large subunit ribosomal RNA
Source: RNAcentral